Molecule: microRNA precursor, 69 nt
Filed under: Pan paniscus (pygmy chimpanzee)
Lineage: Eukaryota; Metazoa; Chordata; Mammalia; Primates; Hominidae
Description: miRNA (ENSPPAG00000011046.1)
Source: RNAcentral
UGGUGCAAAAGUAAUUGCGGUUUUUGCCAUGGAAAGUAAUGGCAAGAACUGCAAUUUCUUUUGCACCAA